RNAcentral lists this ribosomal RNA (861 nucleotides) under Triticum aestivum (bread wheat). RNAcentral describes it as "partial small subunit ribosomal RNA". The record is from RNAcentral. Lineage: Eukaryota; Viridiplantae; Streptophyta; Magnoliopsida; Poales; Poaceae.
AUGAGAAUGGCUCGGAAAAGCAAAAGGACCACGGGAAGAACUUAUGGUGAAAAUGAGGGAGAAGAGGUGGUGGCUCAAACAGCAAGGAGUAAUGUUGGACGCAAACGUGGGCAGAUGAAUGAGGAUCCUGUCCGGGGUGGUCGGGCGGGGAAACGGGCCACCGAUUCCGCCCGUCGUGAUGAAGGAGGGAGGCAUCCGAAACGUGCGAAGAAAGUCAGGCACGAGAUUGGUAGCAGUGGGCCACUACCGAGGAACAGGGCAUCACCUUCAAGACUAUUUGUCCAAAACAAUGGCCUUGAGGAUAUACAAAAGGAUGCCAUCAGUGAUAUAAGCUUUGGCGACGUGCUUGAUAUCGGCCCAAGAACAAUGAAAGGAGAUCUUGUCAAGUUUGUCAUGAAGUGUUAUGACCCAGAGUUGUUGCAGCUUGUUAUCCCAGAUAGGGGUAAGAUCCCAAUUGAUGCAACAAGUGUAGAAAGAAUUUGGGGCUUGCCAAGGGGGCAGAAGAAGGUUGCAUAUGAAGUGGAGCCAGACAUAGUUAGGUUGUUCAAUGAGAUGUACAACAUCCCCACAAGGCCCGCGCCAACAGUUACCAAGUGGUGCAAAAUGAUAAAGGAGCUGGGAGUUGUUGUUGAUGACAAGUUCUUAAGUGCAUGGCUUGUCAUUGUUUUUAGUUGUUCUCUUGCACCGACCACCAGCUUGAAGGUGUCCCCGCGCGCAUACCCAGCUUCGCUGAAUCCACGUGAGAUUGUGAAUUCAAAUGUUUGCCAGUUUGUCGUCGACCAACUCAGCCUUGCUUUCAUGGGUUUUGGAGACAAGAAGAACAUGAUAUGCUGUUGCCUUUUUCACCUAGUGGUAAAAUGA